AUGGUUGUGGCAUACUGGUCUUUGCUGAGAGGCAAAUGGAUCUUCAUGAGCCUCUCACUGAUGCCCACAGGCAAGUCAGGCAGCUGUUUGAGCAAGCUGGUCUUGAUAGCCAGGCUAACACCGUGGAUUCUGUCUUCACUUGUGGCUUUACCUUUCCAGAAGAAGGUGUAUCCAGUGGUGGGUUCGCUGAGUGAUCUCUCUUCUGAUUAUACAUUCCCCUGUCUUCUUCAAUCAGUCCUCAAGUGUGAUGAUUUCAAGGGGCCAAUCACAGCUUCCAAAUUGCCUAGCACUGUCCAGGUGGGCAGUAUCUGUGGGAUCCACAUCUCAUCCUCUGAAGGUGUAAACUCUUAUCAAAGGAUUCCCAAGUUUCUGAUUAAUUGGGUUAAAAGGGUGGAGCUGUCAAAGCUAUAGAUGAAAGGGUUUAACAUGGGGGUCACCACGGUAUACAUGGUUGAGGCAACUGUGCUCUUCCAAGAAGAGUGAGUAGCUGAAGAGCUGAAAUACACUCCCAGCCCUGUGCCAUACAAUAAGGAAACAACAGAAAGGUGAGAUCCACAGGUAGAAAAGGCUUUAAACUUAUCCCUUAGCAGAUGGGACUUUCAAAAUGGACGAAGAGAUCUGACUGUAUGAGAAAAGGAUCCCAGUGAGGGGGAUAAUACCCAGCAAUAUAGCUAUACUGUAAAUCAAGAUGUAAUUGAUAAGGGUGUCAGAACAAGAGAGUUUCAGAACCUAUUCAAGAUCACAAAAGGAGUGCUGAAUUUCAUGGUCACAAAAGGAGACCAUCAGACAGUGAAGGAGAGAAUAGAGAAGGCUUAAUAUCCAGGAGAGCAGAACCAGCAGGACAAGAGCCUAUGGCUCAUGAUGAUUGCAUACCAUAGAGGGUGACAGAUAGCCACAAAAUGGUCAUAGGCCAUUACAGUGAGAAAGAAAUUAUCCAAACCAACAAAAACCAUAAAGAAAUACAUCUGGACAAAACAGUCAGCUCCAUGACCAACCUUGUAAAAUUUGCAUUCUUUUUCUCUCUAAAAUUUCUCAUACCAUGGGAUUUAUGGCAAAAUAUAAUCAACACAGUACUUCUCCUUGGGAUUUUGAUUUUUAUAGCUGUAAUAUUGUAUUUCUUUAAAAAACCCACUUCUCAGUAAAACCAACUGGGUGUUCCUUCUACUACUCAACAAUAUGCAGAACUAAAUACUCGGCUUGAGCUUAUAGAGGAAAGUAAGGGAGAGAUUGUAGCUUUUAUGAGAAGCAUUAAAAGAGAAUUAAGAACAUUAUCAGAAUUUCUGUCCCACCCUGCUCUGGACAAUAACCCACUUAAUGAACCCACCGCUCUCCCUGCCCCCUCGGCCUCAGAAAACCCACCCACUCCUACCUGGCUCGCCAUAAACUUAAGAUUUGUCCAAGUAAGGUAUUC
RNAcentral lists this long non-coding RNA (1411 nucleotides) under Monodelphis domestica (gray short-tailed opossum). Its description in RNAcentral is "lncRNA (ENSMODG00000048918.1)". Lineage: Eukaryota; Metazoa; Chordata; Mammalia; Didelphimorphia; Didelphidae. The record is from RNAcentral.